RNAcentral lists this ribosomal RNA (446 nucleotides) under uncultured bacterium. RNAcentral's name for it is "partial 16S ribosomal RNA". It matches the Rfam family "Bacterial small subunit ribosomal RNA", at positions 338 to 795 of the family's 1533-position model. The record is from RNAcentral.
CCUACGGUGGACAGCAGUCGAGAAUCAUUCACAAUGGGGGAAACCCUGAUGGUGCGACGCCGCGUGGGGGAAUGAAGGUCUUCGGAUUGUAAACCCCUGUCAUGUGGGAGCAAAUUAAAAAGAUAGUACCACAAGAGGAAGAGACGGCUAACUCUGUGCCAGCAGCAGCGGUAAUACAGAGGUCUCAAGCGUUGUUCGGAAUCACUGGGCGUAAAGCGUGCGUAGGCUGUUUCGUAAGUCGUGUGUGAAAGGCGCGGGCUCAACCCGCGGACGGCACAUGAUACUGCGAGACUAGAGUAAUGGAGGGGGAACCGGAAUUCUCGGUGUAGCAGUGAAAUGCGUAGAUAUCGAGAGGAACACUCGUGGCGAAGGCGGGUUCCUGGACAUUAACUGACGCUGAGGCGCGAAGGCCAGGGGAGCGAAAGGGAUUAGAUACCCCGGUAGUC